RNAcentral lists this ribosomal RNA (497 nucleotides) under uncultured bacterium. RNAcentral's name for it is "partial 16S ribosomal RNA". It matches the Rfam family "Bacterial small subunit ribosomal RNA", at positions 27 to 507 of the family's 1533-position model. The record is from RNAcentral.
GGGGGGGGGGGGGGGGGGGGGGGGGGGGGGGAGGGCGGGGGGGGAGGGGAGGGGCGUGGUGCUCUGACGUUCGCGGCUGGCGGGUGCGUCACCCGUGGGUACCCUACCUCUGAGCGUGGGGUACCGUCGUGCCACGGGAGCUAGUGCCGGAUCAUCACUUGAUCCGCAUGGGUCAACCGUGUCCGCCUGUCUUGCAGUCCCUUCUCUCUGGUUCUUCGCCGCAUUAGCUAGUUGGUAAGGUAACGGCUUACCAAGGCAAGCAUGCGUAGCCGACCUGAGAGGGUGAUCGGCCACACUGGAACUGAGACACGGUCCAGACUCCUACGGGAGGCAGCAGUAGGGAAUCUUCCGCAAUGGGCGAAAGCCUGACGGAGCAACGCCGCGUGAGUGAUGAAGGUCUUCGGAUCGUAAAACUCUGUUAUUAGGGAAGAACAAAUGUGUAAGUAACUAUGCACGUCUUGACGGUACCUAAUCAGAAAGCCACGGCUAACUACGUG